AGAAGAAGAAGAAGAAGAAGAAGAAGAAGAAGAAGAAGAAGAAGAAGAAGAAGAAGAGGAAGAGGAGGAGAAGAGAAAUGUGCCGAAGGGGUUUUUUUCGGAUGACGAAAUUGAAGAAAUUGAUGAGGAUCAAAUUGAGGACGACGAUCAUACCAUACUUACGAACGACGAGGAGGAGGGUUGGGGUGUCGUAAACAGGUAUGUAGAUGAUUCCCCGAGCUCUGCAAUCGGAUCUGAAGG
Erythranthe guttata (spotted monkey flower) is the source of this 240-nucleotide non-coding RNA. The record is from RefSeq and is a predicted model, not a curated record. Lineage: Eukaryota; Viridiplantae; Streptophyta; Magnoliopsida; Lamiales; Phrymaceae.